This 577-nucleotide ribosomal RNA is filed under the name Microbotryum shastense. RNAcentral describes it as "LSU rRNA". It matches the Rfam family "Eukaryotic large subunit ribosomal RNA", at positions 47 to 628 of the family's 3401-position model. Lineage: Eukaryota; Fungi; Basidiomycota; Microbotryomycetes; Microbotryales; Microbotryaceae. The record is from RNAcentral.
UAAACGGAGGAAAAGAAACUAACAAGGAUUCCCCUAGUAACGGCGAGUGAAGCGGGAAAAGCUCAAAUUUGUAAUCUGGCGCCUUCGGUGUCCGAGUUGUAAUCUCGAGAAGUAUUUUCCGCGCUGGACCGCACAUAAGUCUGUUGGAAUACAGCGUCAUAGUGGUGAGAACCCCGUAUAUGGUGCGGAUGCCCAGUGCUUUGUGAUAUACUUUCGAAGAGUCGAGUUGUUUGGGAAUGCAGCUCAAAUUGGGUGGUAAAUUCCAUCUAAAGCUAAAUAUUGGCGAGAGACCGAUAGCGAACAAGUACCGUGAGGGAAAGAUGAAAAGCACUUUGGAAAGAGAGUUAACAGUACGUGAAAUUGUUGGAAGGGAAACGCUUGAAGUCAGACUUGCAUUUUGGAGUUCAGCCGCAAGGUGUAUUCUUCAAUUCGCAGGCCAGCAUCAGUUUUCGGGGGUGGAAAAUCGUGGUUUGAAGGUAGCAGUUUCGGCUGUGUUAUAGCUUUCCGCUGGAUUCACUUUUGGGGACUGAGGAACGCAGAGCGCUUUUUGCAAGAUUCUCGGGUCUUUCGUACUUUG